This 279-nucleotide ribosomal RNA is filed under the name uncultured bacterium. RNAcentral's name for it is "partial 16S ribosomal RNA". It matches the Rfam family "Bacterial small subunit ribosomal RNA", at positions 506 to 784 of the family's 1533-position model. The record is from RNAcentral.
UGCCAGCCGCCGCGGUAAUACGGAGGGUGCAAGCGUUAAUCGGAAUUACUGGGCGUAAAGCGCGCGUAGGCGGCUUCGUCAGUCAGAUGUGAAAGCCCAGGGCUUAACCUUGGAAUUGCAUUUGAUACUGCGAAGCUAGAGUAUGGUAGAGGGGAGUGGAAUUUCCAGUGUAGCGGUGAAAUGCGUAGAUAUUGGAAGGAACACCAGUGGCGAAGGCGACUCCCUGGGCCAAUACUGACGCUGAGGUGCGAAAGCGUGGGGAGCAAACAGGAUUAGAUA